RNAcentral lists this ribosomal RNA (492 nucleotides) under uncultured bacterium. Its description in RNAcentral is "partial 16S ribosomal RNA". It matches the Rfam family "Bacterial small subunit ribosomal RNA", at positions 29 to 507 of the family's 1533-position model. The record is from RNAcentral.
AGUGAACGCUGGCGGUAGGCCUAACACAUGCAAGUCGAACGGCAGCACAGUAAGAGCUUGCUCUUACGGGUGGCGAGUGGCGGACGGGUGAGGUAUACAUCGGAAUCUACCUUUUCGUGGGGGAUAACGUAGGGAAACUUACGCUAAUACCGCAUACGACCUACGGGUGAAAGCAGGGGAUCUUCGGACCUUGCGCGAUUGAAUGAGCCGAUGUCGGAUUAGCUAGUUGGCGGGGUAAAGGCCCACCAAGGCGACGAUCCGUAGCUGGUCUGAGAGGAUGAUCAGCCACACUGGAACUGAGACACGGUCCAGACUCCUACGGGAGGCAGCAGUGGGGAAUAUUGGACAAUGGGCGCAAGCCUGAUCCAGCCAUACCGCGUGGGUGAAGAAGGCCUUCGGGUUGUAAAGCCCUUUUGUUGGGAAAGAAAAGCAGCAGGUUAAUACCCCGCUGUUCUGACGGUACCCAAAGAAUAAGCACCGGCUAACUUCGUG